GGACCGGUAGUUCAGUUGGUUAGAAUGCCGGCCUGUCACGCCGGAGGUCGCGGGUUCAAGUCCCGUCCGGUCCGCCA
RNAcentral lists this transfer RNA (77 nucleotides) under Pseudomaricurvus alcaniphilus. Its description in RNAcentral is "tRNA-Asp". It matches the Rfam family "tRNA". From Rfam's summary of the family: Transfer RNA (tRNA) molecules are approximately 80 nucleotides in length. Lineage: Bacteria; Pseudomonadati; Pseudomonadota; Gammaproteobacteria; Cellvibrionales; Cellvibrionaceae. The record is from RNAcentral. RNAcentral also lists the same sequence under 1 other name.